AGAGUUUGAUUAUGGCUCAGGAUGAACGCCGGCGGCGUGCUUAACACAUGCAAGUCGAACGAGGUCCAACCUUCGGGUGAAGACCGAGUGGCGAACGGGUGAGUAACACGUGGGGAACCUGCCCUUCUCUCUGGGAUAACCUCGGGAAACCGAAGCUAAUACCGGAUACUCCUUGCGGACCGCAUGGUCUGCUCGGGAAAGCUCCGGCGGAGAAGGAUGGCCCCGCGGCCCAUUAGCUUGUUGGUGGGGUAACGGCCCACCAAGGCGACGAUGGGUAGCCGAGCUGAGAGGCUGAUCGGCCACACUGGGACUGAGACACGGCCCAGACUCCUACGGGAGGCAGCAGUGGGGAAUCUUGCGCAAUGGGCGAAAGCCUGACGCAGCAACGCCGCGUGCGGGAUGAAGGCUCUCGGGUCGUAAACCGCUUUCAGCAGGGAUGAAAAUGACAGUACCUGCAGAAGAAGCCCCGGCUAAAUACGUGCCAGCAGCCGCGGUAAUACGUAUGGGGCAAGCGUUAUCCGGAUUCAUUGGGCGUAAAGCGCGCGUAGGCGGCUUGUUAAGUCAGGCGUGAAAUCCGGGGGCUCAACCCGCGGCUUGCGUCUGAAACUGGCAGGCUUGAGUCUGGUAGAGGAAAGUGGAAUUCCUGGUGUAGCGGUGAAAUGCGCAGAUAUCAGGAGGAACACCAGUGGCGAAGGCGGCUUUCUGGGCCACGACUGACGCUGAGGCGCGAAAGCUAGGGGAGCGAACAGGAUUAGAUACCCUGGUAGUC
Molecule: ribosomal RNA, 769 nt
Filed under: uncultured Actinomycetes bacterium
Lineage: Bacteria; Bacillati; Actinomycetota; Actinomycetes
Description: bacterial SSU rRNA
Rfam family: Bacterial small subunit ribosomal RNA
Source: RNAcentral